Long non-coding RNA from Ahaetulla prasina, 1174 nucleotides. RefSeq lists it as uncharacterized. NCBI's taxonomy places the organism in Eukaryota, Metazoa, Chordata, Lepidosauria, Squamata, Colubridae. The record is from RefSeq and is a predicted model, not a curated record. The transcript has 3 exons.
UUCCUAUCGAGCGCCCGAGCCAGAAGGUUUGGGGUUCAAUGGAUGCUCAGGCGGCCGGAGGGACCGGGGGCGAUCCCCCCCAGGAGCCGUUGUUUCGGGGCGUUGCUCAGGACGAGCCACCUCAGGAGGGAGCAUCAGAUUUCGUGAUAUUCCAUUUCACCUUUGUCUUCGAGUUCUAGAGUCAGCCUGUCCAUUUCUGCGCAAGUCAGUAUCUUAUUUAUUAUCUCUUCUUCAGGGUCUAUGUGUCUCUUUACUCUUCCAAUUUUGUGCAAAGACCAGUCUCGCUGCCGUUAAUAAAUGCAACAUUAACUACAUUGUUCCUGUAUUAUAUUUAUCCUUUGGGAUACCCAGUAGGAAGAGUUCUGGCUUUGAAUCUAUUUUUUGAUUUAACAUCUCUUCAAGCCAUCGUUUUAUCUGAUGCCAAAAAUCCUUAGCUUUUGGACAGACCCACCACAUAUGAUAGAAGGUUCCUGGCACUGCCUUACCUUUCCAACGCAUCAGAGAGAGGUUUUUCUUCCUUUUAGCUAAUCUUGUGUGUGGGAGAUGCCACCUGUAAAACAUCUUAUGAAGGUUUUCUUUGUAGGUAGUUGCUAAAGUUAAUUUCUAUUCCUCUCCCAUAAUUCCUGCCAUUUAUCUAAGAUCUAAGUAUCUAAGUGAUUUCUACAUACUCAGGGACACAAGUCCAUCACACACAAGUCCACCACUGACUUUUCAUAAAUUCAUCAAAGCUGAUUUGUGUGCUGGAUGCACGACCCCCAAAACUUUCAUAAAUACAGCCAUUUCUUGAUUAUGAUAUAUGAUACGUGUUAAAAUAGGUUUUAAUAUUCCUGAAGUAUUGCAGGUAAUUUCAUAUUAAUGCUGGACCUAGUCCAAGUUCCCUGAGAUAACAGCAACCCAGGAAACUGGAUCAGGGACAGCAUCAGUAGCUCCCUGGAUAUGGGAUGGGAUCUACUUGAGGCCUCCAGAGUGAAGUUCUGUGAUACUUUAAUGUGUAAAUUCAUGGCUGAGAUAAUCUGCCUCUGAAUCCAUUCCUUGGUCCUUCCACACCUUUCGGUUUUCCUCUCACCCAACGUUAGCAGCUUCUAUGUAUUGUUGUUCUGUCUGCAAAGUACUCAAAUAAACGGAUUCCCUAGUUCGCAUAAAGAUAUGUAGAAUCGCCCUUCUGCACUGUAGC